Molecule: long non-coding RNA, 351 nt
Filed under: Gossypium barbadense (sea-island cotton)
Lineage: Eukaryota; Viridiplantae; Streptophyta; Magnoliopsida; Malvales; Malvaceae
Description: long non-coding RNA (GBAR_LNC016462)
Source: RNAcentral
CCUAAUGAAAAAGAAAAUUAAAAAUUACUAAUGGAAGGAAACAAUAAUAAUGUAAAAGAUAAAAGAAAGAAAAAAAACUACCCUGAAUAAGUGGGUUGCCUCCCACAAGCGCCUUUGUUUGAAGUCGUUGGCUCGACAUCGCAAAUCCUCAAGAUUGAUCUCCUUCAACCAAGCUGUUUGCUCCCCUUCAUAAAAAUGUUUCAACCUGUGACCAUUCACCUUAAAAAUUUUAUUAGUUUCAAGGCUCCUAAUUUCGAUUUCCCCAUGAUGAUGCACCUCGGUUAUUAUAAAUGGUCCAAGCCACCUUGAUUUUAACUUACCAGGAAACAGUUUAAGCUUAGAAUUAAAUAG